Molecule: non-coding RNA, 1029 nt
Organism: Peromyscus maniculatus bairdii (prairie deer mouse)
Lineage: Eukaryota; Metazoa; Chordata; Mammalia; Rodentia; Cricetidae
Source: RefSeq, a predicted model, not a curated record
GCUAGCGGGGCUCGGCGGAGGGCGAGCUUGGCCUCGGAAGGGGCAGGAAUAGCAUCCGUGGGCGAGAACUGCAGGAGGAUCCCAGGGGGUCAACGCGGAUCCUUCCCCGCACCGUUAGCCUAACAGCCCCGUGGGCUCCGUGCGGAUGAGCACAUAGGAGCUGGGUUCACCCUGCGAACAGACUGACCCUGGCUAGAAGUCAGGAGGGACACUGGGGCCAUGGUGGAGCCACUGGAAGCCAGAAGAGGGAGCUGGAUCUGCUGGAACUGGAGUACAGACAUUGUGAGCCUCCAAGUGGAUCCUUUGGAAGAGCAAUACACCUCCUAACUGCUAAGCUGACUGUCCAGUCGUGUGUACUCACCACCCCCCCUCCACCACCACUCCUGUCUUAGAUCAAAGGAACUGAGCCCCACAUGCUACAUAACAACAUCUCUGGAACCCUGGCAGCAACUUGAUGUAGAGCAUCAUCGGGUGCCGUGAAGGCUGUGAGCUUGCAUCCCUGAGUAAGUGGUGGCACCUAACGGUCAACAGACAAACAGAUGUUCCAGCUGCCCGGUCUCCCAGGAAACCCGAUUCUCUGGUGAUCCUGAGAUUCCUUUUAUCUUUUUAAUGAAAUAUUUUCCUUACUACUGCCAAAAUUGGGUUUUGAUGUUUACAACUAAAAAUUCAGACUCACAUAAUUUAUAUUAAAACACUGAAGCUGUUACCUAGGACUGUGAACUCCAGAUUCUAGUGUUCUUUCCAUACUCAUUUCUCCAUGUUCCAACAAUCCACAAUAUUUACAUUAUGUAUUGAUGGCUCUGUAUCAGUUUCUUAACUGAAUUUUUAUGGAAGCUGAAAAUAAACAUUUUGAGUGGCUGCAUGGGGAGGCGGCUUUCAGUAGAACAUCCAGUUUCAAAGGCAGAAACAUGCAUCUGCUCUGUGAUUUGCUUCUUUCUCUGUGUGUGUGUGGUAUUUGUGCAUGUUUGUUUGUGCCUGUGUGUGCAUGUGUAUGGGGCAGGGUGGAGGUCACCAUUGCGCAUCUUUCUC